RNAcentral lists this ribosomal RNA (250 nucleotides) under uncultured bacterium. RNAcentral describes it as "partial 16S ribosomal RNA". It matches the Rfam family "Bacterial small subunit ribosomal RNA", at positions 524 to 773 of the family's 1533-position model. The record is from RNAcentral.
UACGUAGGUGGCAAGCGUUGUCCGGAAUUAUUGGGCGUAAAGGAUGCGUAGGUGGUCUUUUAAGUGGGAUGUGAAAUCCCUGGGCUUAACCCAGGAACUGCAUUCCAAACUGGGAGACUAGAGUGCGGGAGAGGAAAGUGGAAUUCCUAGUGUAGCGGUGAAAUGCGUAGAGAUUAGGAGGAACACCAGUUGCGAAGGCGACUUUCUGGAACGUAACUGACGCUGAUGCAUGAAAGCGUGGGGAGCAAAC